Molecule: long non-coding RNA, 673 nt
Organism: Columba livia (rock pigeon)
Lineage: Eukaryota; Metazoa; Chordata; Aves; Columbiformes; Columbidae
Exons: 3
Source: RefSeq, a predicted model, not a curated record
AUUUGCGGCUACCAGCGUCCCCUGUGUCCCUGCGCUCUGAGCUGCCUGCCAGGUAGUCGAAGAGGACGAAGCCGUACGGUGCUGGCUCUGGGGUCUGGUGAGGGAGAGAGGCAGAGGAGGUGGGAGAGGCAGAGGAAGGAAUGUCCCCUCCAUGUUGUCCAGCAGCCAGCGCUUCUCCACCUCCUUCCUACAGCCCCCCACCACGUAGAAGAAGAGGUCGACGCUGCUCCUGUAGACAACCGUGAGUCCUUCCAGGCAGGCGAUCUCACCUGACAGGUGACACAGGGACACGGGAUUGUGCCAGAGGGGACACUGCUCCAAGCCCGGUGCCCCCACAGCAUCAAAUUCCUGAGUGGGACCCCCGCUCACCCCCCGCCCGCUGGCUCUGGCUGAAGAUGCUCCUCUCGAAGGCCGCCUGCUCCUUGGCUGUGGGGAAGGUCCCGUCGUAGUACUGGGGGGAUAUGGGGUUCAGGGCUGGCAGCACAACCACUGCGUGGGGUGGGGGGUGCUGGGGCCCCCAAAACCCCCACUGGGACCCCCCAAGGUCAGCACCAGGACCCCCUGAGAUCCCGCAGCUUAGCAGGGGGAGAUGCCUGAGCUGGGGUGUGCAGGGGGGGCCCUGGGCAGUGUGCCCUGGGGAAACUGAGGCGGGGGGCCGGGCUGCACCUUGGCC